AGUCAAGUAAUUAAGUGCAUGUGGUGGAUGCCUUGGCAGUCAGAGGCGAUGAAAGACGUAAUAGCCUGCGAUAAGCUUCGGGGAGGCGGCAAAUAUCCUGUGAUCCGGAGAUUUCUGAAUGGGGAAACCCACUUACCAUAAGGUAGGUAUCGCAUGAUGAAUACAUAGUCAUGCGAGGCGAACGAGGGGAAGUGAAACAUCUCAGUACCCUUAGGAAAAGAAAUCAAUUGAGAUUCCCUCAGUAGCGGCGAGCGAACGGGGAUCAGCCCAUUAAGUUAUAUGUGUAUUAGCGGAAAGCUCUGGGAAGUGCUACCGUAGAGGGUGAUAGUCCCGUACACGAAAGUGCACAUAUAAUGAUGACGAGUAGGGCGAGGCACGUGAAACCUUGUCUGAAUAUGGGGGGACCAUCCUCCAAGGCUAAAUACUCCUGACUGACCGAUAGUGAACCAGUACCGUGAGGGAAAGGCGAAAAGAACCCCUGUGAGGGGAGUGAAAUAGAUCCUGAAACCGCAUGCAUACAAGCAGUGGGAGCCGACUUGUUCGGUGACUGCGUACCUUUUGUAUAAUGGGUCAGCGACUUAUAUUCAGUAGCAAGGUUAACCGCAUAGGGGAGCCGUAGAGAAAUCGAGUCUUAAUAGGGCGUUUAGUUGCUGGGUAUAGACCCGAAACCGGGUGAUCUAUCCAUGAGCAGGUUGAAGGUUGGGUAACACUAACUGGAGGACCGAACCCACUGUCGUUGAAAAGCCAGGGGAUGACUUGUGGAUAGGGGUGAAAGGCUAAUCAAACUCGGUGAUAGCUGGUUCUCCCCGAAAGCUAUUUAGGUAGCGCCUCGGACGAAUACCAUAGGGGGUAGAGCACUGUUUCGGCUAGGGGGUCAUCCCGACUUACCAAACCGAUGCAAACUCCGAAUACCUAUGAGUACUAUCCGGGAGACAGACUGCGGGUGCUAACGUCCGUAGUCAAGAGGAAAACAAUCCAGACCGCCAGCUAAGGCCCCAAAAUUAUAGUUAAGUGGGAAACGAUGUGGGAAGGCAUAGACAGCUAGGAGGUUGGCUUAGAAGCAGCCACCCUUUAAAGAAAGCGUAAUAGCUCACUAGUCGAGUCGGCCUGCGCGGAAGAUGUAACGGGGCUAAAACUAUAUGCCGAAGCUGCGGAUGUAUACUUUGUAUACGUGGUAGGGGAGCGUUCUGUAAGCCGAUGAAGGUGUGUUGAGAAGCAUGCUGGAGGUAUCAGAAGUGCGAAUGCUGACGUGAGUAACGACAAAACGGGUGAAAAACCCGUUCGCUGAAAGACCAAGGGUUCCAGUCCAACGUUAAUCGGGGCUGGGUGAGUCGACCCCUAAGGCGAGGCCGAGAGGCGUAGUCGAUGGGAAAUUGGUUAAUAUUCCAAUACUUCUGUGUAAUGCGAUGAGAGGACGGAGAAAGUUAAGUCAGCCUGGCGUUGGU
Molecule: ribosomal RNA, 1445 nt
Filed under: Acinetobacter bereziniae
Lineage: Bacteria; Pseudomonadati; Pseudomonadota; Gammaproteobacteria; Moraxellales; Moraxellaceae
Description: partial 23S ribosomal RNA
Rfam family: Bacterial large subunit ribosomal RNA
Source: RNAcentral